This is a long non-coding RNA of Panicum virgatum (switchgrass), 649 nucleotides long. RefSeq lists it as uncharacterized. Lineage: Eukaryota; Viridiplantae; Streptophyta; Magnoliopsida; Poales; Poaceae. The record is from RefSeq and is a predicted model, not a curated record. The transcript has 4 exons.
GCAAUUGUGGUAACUGUGACUCAGGGGAUUGUGAUGUUUGUCUUGGUAUCAUACGCCGUAGGAGCAAUUGUGUUCUUCUCGAAGAUUUAUCAAAAGUCAAGAACUUGGCCUUGAUGUCCGAAUCCAAGGCGUUUAUUUCUCAAGAGGAUUUGAAACGCUGCCCAACAUUUACCAAUUUGAAGACACUGUUACUCAGCGACUAUUGGUGUGUGACUCUCAACAUGGACGCACUAACUCGGAUUCUCAAUCAGUCACCACGUUGAGAGAAGCUAACGCUCGAACUUUUCUCGGAGGGACCUUAUCAUCAAGUGGAAAUGAAAGGAAGCUACAGUUCAAUACAGAGAUCAGCUGGAAUAUCUGAACAUCUUAGGAUAGUGGAGGUCAAAUUUGAACAGAUUGAUGCGAGAGUUCUCAAAGUUUUGAAGCUCUUGUGUACAUUUAACAUACGUUUCAGUUUCUGAGUAGGUUGGGAAAAUAUGUGCUGGCUUUGGAGUUUGGAUUUACUCACUCUUGACUACUCACAAGGGAAUGUCUAAGUUUGGUUUGGCGAGGCUAUAGUUAUCUUUCAUAAGUUAUAGUCAGGGAAACAUUUUAGAUUUGGCAGCGCACUUGUAGAGAAUUUUAAAUUAUCUUGUCGGAGCAUUGUUGC